RNAcentral lists this ribosomal RNA (452 nucleotides) under uncultured organism. Its description in RNAcentral is "partial 16S ribosomal RNA". It matches the Rfam family "Bacterial small subunit ribosomal RNA", at positions 330 to 798 of the family's 1533-position model. The record is from RNAcentral.
CGUACACUCCUACGGGAGGCAGCAGUGGGGAAUAUUGGACAAUGGGCGCAAGCCUGAUCCAGCCAUGCCGCGUGAGUGAUGAAGGCCCUAGGGUUGUAAAGCUCUUUCACCGGUGAAGAUAAUGACGGUAACCGGAGAAGAAGCCCCGGCUAACUUCGUGCCAGCAGCCGCGGUAAUACGAAGGGGGCUAGCGUUGUUCGGAUUUACUGGGCGUAAAGCGCACGUAGGCGGACUAUUAAGUCAGGGGUGAAAUCCCGGGGCUCAACCCCGGAACUGCCUUUGAUACUGGUAGUCUUGAGUUCGAGAGAGGUGAGUGGAAUUCCGGGUGUAGAGGUGAAAUUCGUAGAUAUUCGGAGGAACACCAGUGGCGAAGGCGGCUCACUGGCUCGAUACUGACGCUGAGGUGCGAAAGCGUGGGGAACAAACAGGAUUAGAUACCCUAGUAGUCCCAU